RNAcentral lists this ribosomal RNA (1268 nucleotides) under metagenome. Its description in RNAcentral is "bacterial SSU rRNA". It matches the Rfam family "Bacterial small subunit ribosomal RNA", at positions 243 to 1520 of the family's 1533-position model. The record is from RNAcentral.
AGCUUGUUGGUGGGGUAAUGGCCUACCAAGGCGACGACGGGUAGCCGGCCUGAGAGGGUGACCGGCCACACUGGGACUGAGAUAGGGCCCAGACUCCUACGGGAGGCAGCAGUGGGGAAUAUUGCACAAUGGGCGAAAGCCUGAUGCAGCGACGCCGCGUGAGGGAUGACGGCCUUCGGGUUGUAAACCUCUUUCAGCAGGGAAGAAGCGAAAGUGACGGUACCUGCAGAAGAAGCACCGGCUAACUACGUGCCAGCAGCCGCGGUAAUACGUAGGGUGCGAGCGUUGUCCGGAAUUAUUGGGCGUAAAGAGCUUGUAGGCGGUUUGUCGCGUCUGCAGUGAAAAUCCGAGGCUCAACCUCGGACUUGCUGUGGGUACGGGCAGACUAGAGUAUGGUAGGGGAGACCGGAAUUCCUGGUGUAGCGGUGGAAUGCGCAGAUAUCAGGAGGAACACCGAUGGCGAAGGCAGGUCUCUGGGCCAUAACUGACGCUGAGAAGCGAAAGCAUGGGGAGCGAACAGGAUUAGAUACCCUGGUAGUCCAUGCCGUAAACGUUGGGCGCUAGGUGUGGGGUUCAUUCCACGAGCUCCGUGCCGCAGCUAACGCAUUAAGCGCCCCGCCUGGGGAGUACGGCCGCAAGGCUAAAACUCAAAGGGAUUGACGGGGGCCCGCACAAGCGGCGGAGCAUGCGGAUUAAUUCGAUGCAACGCGAAGAACCUUACCAAGGCUUGACAUAUACCGGAAACAUCCAGAGAUGGGUGCCCCGCAAGGUCGGUAUACAGGUGAUGCAUGGUUGUCGUCAGCUCGUGUCGUGAGAUGUUGGGUUAAGUCCCGCAACGAGCGCAACCCUCGUUCUAUGUUGCCAGCGCGUAAUGGCGGGGACUCAUAGGAGACUGCCGGGGUCAACUCGGAGGAAGGUGGGGAUGACGUCAAAUCAUCAUGCCCCUUAUGUCUUGGGCUUCACGCAUGCUACAAUGGCCGGUACAAAGGGCUGCGAUACCGCGAGGUGGAGCGAAUCCCAAAAAAAACCGGUCUCAGUUCGGAUUGGGGUCUGCAACUCGACCCCAUGAAGUCGGAGUCGCUAGUAAUCGCAGAUCAGCAACGCUGCGGUGAAUACGUUCCCGGGCCUUGUACACACCGCCCGUCAAGUCACGAAAGUCGGUAACACCCGAAGCCGGUGGCCCAACCCUUGUGGAGGGAGCCGUCGAAGGUGGGACUGGCGAUUGGGACUAAGUCGUAACAAGGUAGCCGUACCGGAAGGUGCGGCUG